Molecule: ribosomal RNA, 297 nt
Filed under: Candidatus Helicobacter avistercoris
Lineage: Bacteria; Pseudomonadati; Campylobacterota; Epsilonproteobacteria; Campylobacterales; Helicobacteraceae
Description: partial 23S ribosomal RNA
Rfam family: Bacterial large subunit ribosomal RNA
Source: RNAcentral
CGUCGUGAGACAGUUCGGUCCCUAUCUGCCGUGGGCGUAGGAAAGUUGAGGAGAGCUGUCCCUAGUACGAGAGGACCGGGAUGGACGUGCCACUAGUGUACCAGUUGUUCUGCCAAGAGCAUCGCUGGGUAGCUACGCACGGAUGUGAUAACCGCUGAAAGCAUCUAAGCGGGAAGCCAACUCCAAGAUUAACUUUCCCUGAAGGUCGCAAGAAGACUACUUGCUUGAUAGGUUAGGUGUGUAAGUGCAGUAAUGCAUUUAGCUGACUAAUACUAAUAGACCGUUUGGCUUAUUUUU